GAGCGGAAAUCAAGAGUUGGAGGCUCAACCUACUGAGCCACCUGGGCGCCCUAUGGGAUUGUUACAUUUAAAUGAUGUCUAGGUUUUCCAUACAGAAGAAAGAGGAACUGGGAGUGGGGAGAGCAACUGGAAAAUUACAGACACCAAAUAUCAUUAAUUACAUGGUCUGAUUUCUGCCCGCUUCUCCAUGCUUCAUCUCCUCUCACAUAGGACGGACUUCAUGGGCCAUGAUACAUGUGUUUGGUGUAAUGUUCUUUUGUUGCCAUUCUGAAGUUCCUGAUUUUACCUUUGAGUUUGUUUUUUGUAAGUAGAGUCCAAUGGAACAACAGAGCAUGCCGUCAGCGAGGAAAUGUGUGCAACUCUGUGGACUCAUCGUUCCAUGAUACCCAGCGUGCUGUGCUCUAGAAACGCUAAAUUCCGUUGAACUCAAGACUGCGUGGGAGUUAGAUAUAAGGUCAUUAAAGUCCUUGACAAGAGCAGCUGGGUGCAGUGGGGGACAAAAACUUCAAUGAAGUGGUUUAAGCAACAAUGGAGGAGCAGCGCGAGGGAAAGCCAGCAAGCAGUGGAACUGGUCAGUGCCUCCGCCACCCCCAGGUGCUGUCCUG
Molecule: long non-coding RNA, 605 nt
Organism: Leopardus geoffroyi (Geoffroy's cat)
Lineage: Eukaryota; Metazoa; Chordata; Mammalia; Carnivora; Felidae
Exons: 3
Source: RefSeq, a predicted model, not a curated record